AUCAGGGGUAAACCUGUGGAACUCGAACGAGCGAACGGGGAGACUCAUCGUUCUUCCGGGGGUUCGCGGCGGGGCGUUUGGCGGUGUUCGCACUGUUCGUUCGCUCCGUCGUCGCAGUCUCCGGGGUGCGUGCACUUCUCCCUUAGUAAAACACCGCGACCCGUUGACGGUCGGUCGAACGCGCCGUGCGGUUGUCCCGUCUCCUUUCGGAGACGGAGCCGCGGCGUCGCGGCCGACUGUCGACGGUAAUGAACGAGGUUUGCGUCCGCCUUUGGCGUCCGCGAUUCGGCGGCGUCGUUCUCCAUCGGAUCUUCUGCGCUACGCGCUGUAGGAACCCGGUGUGCGGAACGGCGCGUCUGUUGAGUCAGCUCGGACGGGACGCGUCCCGGUCGGCGGUGGUUUGUUUCGGGCACUCACAGGACCC
RNAcentral lists this ribosomal RNA (424 nucleotides) under Cheumatopsyche sp. XZ CN8. Its description in RNAcentral is "partial 28S ribosomal RNA". Lineage: Eukaryota; Metazoa; Arthropoda; Insecta; Trichoptera; Hydropsychidae. The record is from RNAcentral.